GCCGGCAUGUUGAAAUGGUAGACAAGGCGGACUCAAAAUCCGUUGCAGGAAACUGCGUGUAGGUUCAAAUCCCACUGCCGGCACCA
RNAcentral lists this transfer RNA (86 nucleotides) under Oscillospiraceae bacterium. RNAcentral describes it as "tRNA-Leu". It matches the Rfam family "tRNA". From Rfam's summary of the family: Transfer RNA (tRNA) molecules are approximately 80 nucleotides in length. Their secondary structure includes four short double-helical elements and three loops (D, anti-codon, and T loops). The record is from RNAcentral. Lineage: Bacteria; Bacillati; Bacillota; Clostridia; Eubacteriales; Oscillospiraceae.